Molecule: ribosomal RNA, 354 nt
Filed under: uncultured bacterium
Lineage: Bacteria
Description: partial 16S ribosomal RNA
Rfam family: Bacterial small subunit ribosomal RNA
Source: RNAcentral
CCUACGGGAGGCAGCAGUGAGGAAUAUUGGUCAAUGGGCGCGAGCCUGAACCAGCCAAGUCGCGUGAGGGAAGACGGUCCUAUGGAUUGUAAACCUCUUUUGUCGGGGAGCAAAAGACGCCACGCGUGGCGUUCCGAGAGUACCCGAAGAAAAAGCAUCGGCUAACUCCGUGCCAGCAGCCGCGGUAAUACGGAGGAUGCGAGCGUUAUCCGGAUUUAUUGGGUUUAAAGGGUGCGCAGGUGGAAGGUCAAGUCAGCGGUAAAAUUGAGAGGCUCAACCUCUUCGGGCCGUUGAAAAUGGUUAGCUUGAGGGAGCGAGAAGUAAGGGGAAUGCGGGGUGUAGCGGUGAAAUGGA